AGUUUUCCUGAAGAAAUAUCAU
This 22-nucleotide small nuclear RNA is filed under the name Arabidopsis thaliana (thale cress). Its description in RNAcentral is "snRNA_08268". Lineage: Eukaryota; Viridiplantae; Streptophyta; Magnoliopsida; Brassicales; Brassicaceae. The record is from RNAcentral.